Molecule: ribosomal RNA, 302 nt
Filed under: uncultured bacterium
Lineage: Bacteria
Description: bacterial SSU rRNA
Rfam family: Bacterial small subunit ribosomal RNA
Source: RNAcentral
GACUAACGCUGGCGGCGUGCCUAAUGCAUGCAAGUCGAGCGCAUCUCGCUUCGGCGGGGUGAGCGGCGGACGGGUGAGUAACGCGUAGCUAACCUGCCCUGGUCUGGGGGAGUACCCACGCAGAAAUGCUGGUCAAUCCCGCGUACGCUCGGCUCGAUGAGGGUCGAGGAAAGCCGCAAGGCGGACUAGGAGGGGGCUGCGUCCCAUCAGCUUGACGGCGGGGUAAGNGGCCACCGUGGCGGUGACGGGUCGCUGGUCUGAGAGGAUGGAUCAGCCACACGGGGACUGGGAGACGGCCCCGA